RNAcentral lists this ribosomal RNA (433 nucleotides) under uncultured bacterium. Its description in RNAcentral is "partial 16S ribosomal RNA". It matches the Rfam family "Bacterial small subunit ribosomal RNA", at positions 29 to 507 of the family's 1533-position model. The record is from RNAcentral.
AACGAACGCUGGCGGCAUGCCUAACACAUGCAAGUCGAACGAGACCUUCGGGCCUAGUGGCGCACGGGUGCGUAACGCGUGGGAACCUGCCCUUAGGUUCGGAAUAACUCCCCGAAUGGGGUGCUAAUACCGGCUAUUGUCUUCGGACCAAAGAUUGAUCGCCUUUGGAUGGGCCCGCGUUGGAUUAGCUUGUUGGUAGGGUAAAAGCCUACCAAGGCGACGAUCCGUAGCUGGUCUGAGAGGAUGAUCAGCGACACUGGGACUGAGACACGGCCCAGACUCCUACGGGAGGGAGCAGUGGGGAAUAUUGGACAAUGGGCGAAAGGCUGAUCCAGCAAUGCCGCGUGAGUGAUGAAGGCCUUAGGGUUGUAAAGCUCUUUUACCCGGGAUGAUAAUGACGGUACCGGGAGAAUAAGCUCCGGCUAACUCCGUG